RNAcentral lists this ribosomal RNA (1175 nucleotides) under Phocaeicola vulgatus. RNAcentral's name for it is "partial 23S ribosomal RNA". It matches the Rfam family "Bacterial large subunit ribosomal RNA", at positions 1 to 1182 of the family's 2925-position model. Lineage: Bacteria; Pseudomonadati; Bacteroidota; Bacteroidia; Bacteroidales; Bacteroidaceae. The record is from RNAcentral.
AGGAAAGUAAAGAAGGGCGCAUGGCGGAUGCCUUGGCUCUCGGAGGCGAUGAAGGACGUGAUAAGCUGCGAUAAGCUUUGGGGAGGUGCAAAUGACCUUUGAUCCAGAGAUUUCCGAAUGGGACAACCCAAUAUCUUGAAGAGGUAUUAUCCAACGUUGUUGGAGGCUAACGCAGGGAACUGAAACAUCUUAGUACCUGCAGGAAAAGAAAAUAAACAAUGAUUCCCCCAGUAGUGGCGAGCGAACGGGGAACAGCCCAAACCAUCCAUGUUACGGCAUGGGUGGGGUUGUAGGACUACGCCGUUGCAUGAAGACAUCAGAGAAGAACUUUCUGGAAAGAAAGACCAUAGAGCAUGACAGUUGCGUAUUCGAAUGUUGUCGAAGCAUAGUAGUAUCCUGAGUAGCGCGGAGCACGAGGAAUUCUGCGUGAAUCUGCCGGGACCAUCCGGUAAGGCUAAAUACUCCCGAGAGACCGAUAGCGAACCAGUACCGUGAGGGAAAGGUGAAAAGCACUUCGAACAGAAGAGUGAAAUAGUUCCUGAAACCGUGCGCCUACAAGCGGUCGGAGCUCGUUAAUGAGUGACGGCGUGCCUUUUGCAUAAUGAACCUACGAGUUGCCUUUGCCGGCAAGGUUAAGUGUGACGACACACGUAUCCGAAGCGAAAGCGAGUCUGAACAGGGCGUAUAGUCGGCAGUGGCAGACGCGAAACCAAGUGAUCUACCCUUGGCCAGGUUGAAGGCUGGGUAACACCAGCUGGAGGACCGCACCAAUAAGCGUUGAAAAGCUUCUGGAUGAGCUGAGGGUAGGGGUGAAAGGCUAAUCAAACUUGGAGAUAGCUCGUACUCCCCGAAAUGCAUUUAGGUGCAGCCUUGCGGGUUACUGAUGUGAGGUAGAGCGACUGAUAAGAUGCGAGGGCUUCACCGCCUAUCAAGUCUUGACAAACUCCGAAUGCGCAUCAGUUCUACCGCAGGAGUGAGGGCAUGGGUGCUAAGGUCCGUGCCCGAGAGGAGAAGAAUCCGGACCACCUGCUAAGGUCCCGAAAUGACAGCUAAGUUAAACUAACGAAGUCUGACUGCUAAGACAGCUAGGAUGUUGGCUUGGAAGCAGCCAUUCAUUUAAAGAGUGCGUAACAGCUCACUAGUCGAGGAGUCGGGCGUGGAUAAUAAUCGGGUAU